GGCUAGGGGGCUGUCAUGGCUUACCAAACCGAUGCAAACUCCGAAUACCGGCUAAUUGGAUCACGGGAGACACACGGCGGGUGCUAACGUCCGUCGUGGAGAGGGAAACAACCCAGACCGCCAGCUAAGGUCCCCAAGUACUAGUUAAGUGGGAAACGAUGUGGGAAGGCAUAGACAGCCAGGAGGUUGGCUUAGAAGCAGCCACCCUUUAAAGAAAGCGUAAUAGCUCACUGGUCGAGUCGGCCUGCGCGGAAGAUGUAACGGGGCUAAAACUAGUCACCGAAGCUGCGGAUGUGCGCGAAGGCGCACGUGGUAGGGGAGCGUUCUGUAGGCUGAUGAAGGUGCAUUGAGAGGUGUGCUGGAGGUAUCAGAAGUGCGAAUGCUGACAUGAGUAACGAUAAUGUGGGUGAAAAGCCCACACGCCGGAAGUCCCAGGUUUCCUGCACGACGUUAAUCGGAGCAGGGUGAGUCGGCCCCUAAGGCGAGGCUGAAGAGCGUAGUCGAUGGGAACCAGGUUAAUAUUCCUGGACUUUUUAUAAGUGGUGAAGUGGGGACGAAGAAGGCUAGGUGAGCCAGGCGUUGGUUGUCCUGGUACUUGCAUGUAGGGGGGAAGACUUGGCAAAUCCGGUUUUCCGAUACUCUGAGGUGCGAAGUGGUUCUGACCUUUUGGUACAGAGAAGUCAUUGAUGCCCGGCUUCCAGGAAAAGCUGCUAGCCAUAACUUAUAGAGAACCGUACCGCAAACCGACACAGGUGGACAGGUAGAGAAUACUAAGGCGCUUGAGAGAACUCGGGUGAAGGAACUAGGCAAAAUGGUACCGUAACUUCGGGAGAAGGUACGCCCUUUCUGGUGAUGGGAUUUACUUUCAGAGCUGGAGAGGGCCGCAGAGACCAGGUGGCUGCGACUGUUUAUUAAAAACACAGCACUCUGCAAAUUCGUAAGAAGACGUAUAGGGUGUGACGCCUGCCCGGUGCCGGAAGGUUAAUUGAUGGGGUUAUCUUCGGAGAAGCUCUUGAUCGAAGCCCCGGUAAACGGCGGCCGUAACUAUAACGGUCCUAAGGUAGCGAAAUUCCUUGUCGGGUAAGUUCCGACCUGCACGAAUGGCGUAACGAUGGCCACACUGUCUCCACCCGAGACUCAGUGAAAUUGAAAUCGCUGUGAAGAUGCAGUGUACCCGCGGCUAGACGGAAAGACCCCGUGAACCUUUACUAUAGUUUUGCACUGGACUUUGAUGAUGACUGUGUAGGAUAGGUGGGAGGCUGUGAAGUGAGGACGCUAGUUCUCAUGGAGCCGCCCUUGAAAUACCACCCUGUUGUUAUUGAGGUUCUAACUUGGUCCAGUAAUCCUGGAUGAGGACAGUGUAUGAUGGGUAGUUUGACUGGGGCGGUCUCCUCCCAAAGAGUAACGGAGGAGCACAAAGGUACCCUCGGUACGGUCGGACAUCGUACCAAGAGUGUAAAGGCAAAAGGGUGCUUGACUGCGAGAGUGACGGCUCGAGCAGGAACGAAAGUUGGUCUUAGUGAUCCGGUGGUUCUGAAUGGAAGGGCCAUCGCUCAACGGAUAAAAGGUACUCCGGGGAUAACAGGCUGAUACCGCCCAAGAGUUCAUAUCGACGGCGGUGUUUGGCACCUCGAUGUCGGCUCAUCACAUCCUGGGGCUGAAGCAGGUCCCAAGGGUAUGGCUGUUCGCCAUUUAAAGUGGUACGCGAGCUGGGUUUAGAACGUCGUGAGACAGUUCGGUCCCUAUCUGCCGUGGGCGUAGGAAAAUUGAGAGGAGCUGCUCCUAGUACGAGAGGACCGGAGUGGACGAACCUCUGGUGCACCGGUUGUCACGCCAGUGGCAUGGCCGGGUAGCUAAGUUCGGACGGGAUAACCGCUGAAAGCAUCUAAGCGGGAAGCCUCCCUCAAGAUGAGUUUUCCCAUGAAGCCCGUUGAAGACUACGACGUUGAUAGGCAAGGUGUGGAAGCGCAGUAAUGUGUGAAGCUAACUUGUACUAAUUGGCUGAUUGUCUUGACCAUAUAAUCUGAG
This 2028-nucleotide ribosomal RNA is filed under the name Legionella pneumophila. RNAcentral's name for it is "partial 23S ribosomal RNA". It matches the Rfam family "Bacterial large subunit ribosomal RNA", at positions 917 to 2925 of the family's 2925-position model. Lineage: Bacteria; Pseudomonadati; Pseudomonadota; Gammaproteobacteria; Legionellales; Legionellaceae. The record is from RNAcentral.